Molecule: ribosomal RNA, 407 nt
Filed under: uncultured bacterium
Lineage: Bacteria
Description: bacterial SSU rRNA
Rfam family: Bacterial small subunit ribosomal RNA
Source: RNAcentral
UGGGGAAUAUUGGGCAAUGGGGGGAACCCUGACCCAGCAACGCCGCGUGAAGGACGAAGGCCUUCGGGUUGUAAACUUCUUUGAUCAGGGACGAAAGCGAUGACGGUACCUGAAGAACAAGCCACGGCUAACUACGUGCCAGCAGCCGCGGUAAUACGUAGGUGGCGAGCGUUAUCCGGAUUUACUGGGUGUAAAGGGCGUGUAGGCGGACCGGCAAGUCGGGUGUGAAAUCCCCGGGCUUAACUCGGGUAUGUCAUCCGAAACUGCAGGUCUUGAGUACUGGAGAGGAUAGUGGAAUUCCUAGUGUAGCGGUAAAAUGCGUAGAUAUUAGGAGGAACACCAGUGGCGAAGGCGGCUAUCUGGCCAGUAACUGACGCUGAGGCGCGAAAGCGUGGGGAGCAAACAGG